Non-coding RNA from Ictidomys tridecemlineatus (thirteen-lined ground squirrel), 20379 nucleotides. The record is from RefSeq and is a predicted model, not a curated record. Lineage: Eukaryota; Metazoa; Chordata; Mammalia; Rodentia; Sciuridae.
CUGCUCCGGAAGCUACAGAGAGCCUACAUUUUACUUAAGAAUGCCCACCUGUAAAUACUAACAAAAGAUAUCCUUUUCAGGCAAAAUUCAAUUUCAUGUUCCUGCCUGUAUCCUAAUGUGUUCUCGAGCUUAAAAAAAAAAAAAUCUGAUCUUUAUCCUUCACCAGGUUCUCUUAGAAACUUUUUAUAGAUGUUUUAUUAAGAAAAGUUGCAGAAGUACUAUAGUAAUCAUAAGAGGUUAUAAGGAUUAGUGUUCUCCAAAUUAAAGUUGUACAUGACACCUACUUAAAGGAUAAUAUUCUGAGAUAGAUAUAGAGAUAUUUUAAGACAUUCUCUCAGAGAUUGGGGGGUUCUACUUAAAUUGUUAGGAUGAAUCAGCUAGUCUAUAUUCUGGAAAAUUACAAUAAUCAAUAAAAAGUAUCUAAUUUUCAUAUCUAGCCUCAACUACUGUCAUCAAAAAAGGGCCUAAAAAAUUGAAAGAUCAAAGGAACCUCUAAAACUUAAUAUAGACCAAAACAAAUUCAGAGAGAUUUUUUAAAAGGUCCAAAUAAAUGUACUGUAGGGUUUCAGAAUGUAUGACAGAUGUCUAAUCUUACCUAGAGAAAUAUUAUGCUAUUACUUGGCUAAACUAUGAAAUAGAAGGCCAUCUUAAAAACAGUUUUAAAGGAGAUUUAUCUUAACCAUGUCCCACUAACACAGAAUAGGGACAACAGGCCUGACAGUUUGGAGCAGACAGUUCCCCAGGACAGAUUGGUAUCUAACAGAUAAACAAAAUGCCUAAAAUAUAAUUUUAGGGGCUGGGGCUGUAGCUCAAUGGUAGAGUGCCUGCCUCACACAUGUGAGGCACUGGGUUCAGUCUUCGGCACCACAUAAAAAUAAAAAUAUUGUAUCCAACUACAACUAAAAAAAAAAGUUAAAAGAGUUUUUAAAAAUCAUAAUUUUAGUAAGUCUUUAGGAAAAAUAUAUUUUUCAUAGAGAGACCUAAAAAGGACAAUACAGUACCUUAAAAUUAUAGGGGGCCACCCAUUUGAAAAGAUGUGUUUAUCUCCAGUUAGCCCUAGACAUUCCAAGGGAUUUACAAAGGUUAACAUAAUUCUAGCCAUGUUUAGAUGUUACAGCAUAGUUAAAUGCAGCACAAAUGAAGAAACAGAAAGGCAAACACAGAGAUUAAAAUGCUAGUCAAAGCUCCAAGAGAAAUAAAUUUCCUGGGUAAAAUGUUUGCUCCUAAGUUACAGAUUUUGAAACCCCCUUAACAUUAAAACAGGGCCUUACUUCAAGCACCUGGCAACAGUUUAUUACUGAAAAAAAAAAAGGGAAAAAAAAAAGUCUGAAAAUAGUUAUGCAAAUAAAUCAGCUCAAUAGUCAAUAGCAUAUUUCAAUAAAAAACUAACAUAAUAGACCUUUUCUCAACUUUAAUAAUAUCUGACAAUGUCCUACAUACAUUGAUAUUUUAAAAUGAAUAAAACCAUAAUUAUUAGCCAAUUUUACUACAUUAAAUAAGUUAUUAAGGGUGCUCAUACAACUGUUUUUUUUUAAUGCACAAAGAUUGUUUGUAAUAGAUCCCUAAAAAUGUUAUUGCUAGCUCAAUGUCAUAUAAAUUCUAAAUUAGAUCACUGUCUUAAACCACACUGUGGACUUGUUUUUACCCAUUAACAUUUGAGAUACUAAUUCCCCCUACUUAGGUGAACAUUAAGUUGAUAACCAUAAUGCCAGUUUUUCAUGGAUUCAUAGAUAAAAGACUAUUCAUUUCUCUAUUUCAUUCUUUAUUAAUGGUAAUAAACAAAAUAUCUUCUCUAGGCUUAUUUAACAUGUACUUCCUAUUUUGGAUAGAUUUCUAUAUAUUUCUCAUGCCCCUAGUAAAGACCACCACUACUACAUUAAUAUCUCUGUCUCUUGCUUCUUUCCAAAUUAAGAUAAAUAUUUAAGUUAAUCUAGAGCUAAUUUCAGCCUGCAAAUAUUUAUAUACAACUUAUUGUAUUCUUUAUUUUUGGUAAUUCUGUUAAAGUCAAAAUCAAGUCAUACAUUUAGUAAAGGGUAAGUUUCUAUUUACCUUGUUCCCAUUAAAUAACUUCUGUCAAGUUUCACAACCAGCUAAAGAUAAUAAAUCUUUUCUUAUUAUUUAAAUACUUGUACUACAUUAAACAUUGCUUAAAACUAAUGAUACUAUGGCUUAUGCCAAGCCUCUACUUAAUUUUAUUAAAUAAAAAGAUGGGAAAAGAGAACCCCACGGCACAUAAUAGAUGUUGCAAAAUAUUUUUUAAAUUUUUCCUAAUUGUGAAUCUGGGAGUCUUACUGCUACUGAACAUGAUUAGUAAGUUAAAUCAAAUUUCAAAAGAGUUUAAACUGGUCAUUGUGGAAAGGUUGAAAAACCUCACACAGGAAGAUAAAUUUCUAGCUGCAUAGUUUACAGCCAUGCAGCUUCAUGGGCUUGUCAGGUAAGUAAAAAUUAUGAAAAAAUAUCCAUGGACCCAUUUCUCAAGUCCACCCUCAAAGAAACACACACACACACACACACACACACACAUACACACGUUGUAGUCGGACACAAUACUUUUAUUUUAUUUAUCUUUAUGUGGUGCUAAGAAUUGAAUCCAAUGCCUUGUACAUGCUAAGCAAGUGCUCUACCACUGACCCACAAACACAGCCUCUCAGGUCCACUUUUGAUGUUCCUUGCAGUGAAGACUAGAAAGUCUAACCAUGCAACUAGAUGAAUUAUACUCACUGUAAUGGUCAGUUAUAGCUAUAUGUUGAUUUUAUGGUAAUCAGGCUGUAUGGCAGUAUCUUUUGAGAAAAAGACAGUAUAUGAGAAUCCAAAACAAGCCAAUUAUGCUGAUCCUUACAAAUUAAGACUAUAUAUAUGGAUAAUUUUCAAAAUAGAAAGAUAGUUGAAAUAGAAAUUUUCUAUAUAGGCCAGUUAUUUACAUAAAAUAUUCAACAAUGUAUUAUUGCCCUAAUAAUUCUGUAAUAGAAAUUGACACAUUUUCUAAAUGGAUAGGUUUGGCCUAUGUAUUGUCAAUAUAACAUAAGGUGUCUAGAAAUUGUCUCCUACAAUUACAUGAAGAUGACAUAACUCUUAGAAACCUGAAUUUUCAGUGAGACAGCACUCAAAAGGAUGUUUUGAUGUUUAUUUCUACCUUCAGAGUGUUUACAUUACUGAUAGAACUAAAAGACUCCUUAAAUGUGAGAAUUGGAAAGAUGGUUAAAUAUUCUGUAACCUAUAAAAGGUACAACUUGCCUAAUUUUAUCACUGUUUAUAGUAGGAUAAAAAGGACAUUGAUCCUCAUCAAUGUCUCUUUGUCCUGUUGCCAGCUAGGAUGCUGCAGUUUAAAUUCAGGCCUUGAAACAGGUGCUUGCCAAUUAACCAGACCUAGGCAAGUUCUUGAUCUCAUGAUCAAUGAAUUGACUACUUAAAAUAUUAUUCAUUGUUCCUAUACUACAGUUUCUGUGGCUAUGUUUUAAAACUUACAACAUGUAAAUUUUCUUAAUAAUUUGACUUAAAUUACUUCCAAGAACCUUCAUAGUCGGAGACAUCUACAUCUCCAUGUUUCUUGCAGUACUGUUCACAACAAGCAAGACAGAAGCAAGGAAAGACAUAGUGUCCACAAGUGGAUGACUGUGUGUAAGUGAUGUGGAACGUCCACUAACGUUCAAUGGGAUGUUAUUGAGCCUUCUAAAUAGGUAAAUUUUGUUUCUGUGCUGAUGUAAGUGAACACUGAGGGCAGUAUUGUGACAUAAAUCAGACAAGAUUACAGUUUGAUCUCUCUCAUGUGACAUCUAAUAAGUCAACUUCAUAGAAAUAGAGUGGAAUGGUGGUUGUAAAGAGGUGGGUAGUGAGGGACACAGGAAGGUUGUUUAAAGUGCACAAAAUUCCAUUCUAACAUCAAUAAAUUUGGGGGAUCUGCUGUGUAACAUGGAGAAUGAAGUUAAUAAUACAUUUUUGUAUACUUGAUAUUUGCUGUGAGAUCUUAAAUAUCCUCACCACACAUACAUCUUAAGUGAUAGAUAUGUUAAUUAAGAGGCUCUGGUAAGCAGUUUACAAUAUCUACUUAUGUAAGCUCUAUGUGUUGUACAACAUGUAUGUGUACAAAUGUAUUUGUCAGUCACACCUCAGCAGAGCAGGACUGAGUCUGCACAUACCCUAUUUUUCAGGCCUGCUUGGUUCUUCAUUCUGAGCUGCAGCCUUCACACUGAAAUUCCACCCAUCCCUCACAGCCAUGAAGACAUUCCACAUCCCAACUCCCACAUGCACAACUGUGUCCUGACAUUUAAUGUUCGUUUUUCUGUGGUGCCUAUCCUAGGGACCUCAGGACAGUCCUUCUUCCUCCCAUUACCCCAAGACCCAUCAUCAGUGCUCUUCCUUCUUUUUUAUUUUCUUUCAAUUCCAUUACCUCAGUCCAUCCCCAUAGCUCCUGGGUCCUACACAACCAAAUGUCCAAGAUUAACUCUCAGGCAUUCUCAACACACAGUUCAAACUCCAAACUGAUUGCAACCAACCCCACCAUCCUCCACCUUUCUUCUGGUUACAUGCCUCUUUAUAUCACUUCUUUCCUGUGUGCCUGGUUUUAAAUCAAGACACUUUUCCUUUUUUCCACUGGUAUUGUUUUGUGUCCCUUAGUUAUACCACAUGGUUGUAAAGACUCAUACUUAGUCUUAAUAUCUAGAAGUGUUCAUCUUUUAAUUUUAUUUUCCUGGUGUUUCUCUUGCACUUUGGGCCAUCACGGCCUCCUUAGCUCUCUACCUACUUUGUUCCCUCCCUCCCGCCCCCCUCCCUCAAUACUCUUUGUGUCAUUUGUCUCUUCCAAGAAACAUUGUGUCUCUCUAGAUUCACCUCUUUGUCAUAUUCUGGGCCUGUUUUGGACAAGUACUUAAUCCAGGACGUGCUACCCCAGCUUUAUUCACAACUUCUCACCACACGUAUGUAUGAAUGCCUCUGAGGCAUUGAAUCUUCUACAAAUUUUACAAUCCGGUGAGCUUCAACAUUUUUCAUGUUCACUCUUCAUCCUCAGGACCACCUUAAUUCCUGUGAAACCAUGUACCCCAUGUAUCUUAUACCUUCUGGGCCCUAUGUCUUUAUGUUCCUUGGCUUUUUGCCCAUGUGUGCCUACACCUAGUCAUGCCAAUGAGCUUUUCCUGGAUACUUAAUGAACUUUGUCUGUGUCCUCUACAUCACAGGAUUUGCACGAUCAAAUUUCCCAAUCCCCCCAUUCCCCAUGUUCUUAUUUAGUACCACUUCAAUCUAAUACCAUUACACAAAACAUACCUGCAUUCAUACCACAGAUUUUCACCUGUAUGAUAAAUCUCACAGCAUUUGUUAAGGUGACAUAUUGUAAAUAGUGUUCUUGCAGGAUUGGAGGGAUUUAUAAUAAUUGAAAGGAUUUUUGUACUGUGUUCACCCAUCAUACUUGCUGUGGAAUUAAUGUUAGCAGCCCUGGCACAUCUUAGAGUUAGAUAUGUUGGCUUAAGCAGGUCAAACCAUCUUAUCCUGUUGCUGUCAUUGGUGAGUGAGAAUUUUUCUACAUUUUUUAUGGAUAUUGUUUUGUUUCUCCCUCCUGUAAGAGGUCAAUAUUGGUAGAGCAUAUUUAUUCACAAAAUUAUGAUAUGAAUUGACAUCCAAUUAUGCAAAUGAAUCCAAUUAAUUAACUCAUAUUUGUGCAGAUGAAUUCAGUGACUUUCAAAGUGAACAACUAGCAUCACCUAAAUUUCUCUAAACAACAAAUUCUAUGUAAUAAAUGAAUUCAGAUGACUGAAAAAAUCCUAGUAUCUCAACUUUCAAAUGCCACAAAUGUGCCAGUUUGCAUGAAUGUCUCCUGUUAUAAAUAUUAUUCACUAACCUUGCUUCCUUGAAACAAAUUUACUUAGGUAUUAAUUAACUCACAUUUUUAUCUUCUUAAAUCAGUGAAUAUUUGCUUCUGCCAUACAAUCUUUCAUGUUUUAUGUUCCAAAGCUGAGGAUAUAACCUGGGAAUGUGGCACAAUUACUGUGAUAGUACUUGUUUUCCUAACACACAAAUAAAUGAGUCAGGGUAUAGCUCUACAGAUGUGGAACCAGUCCUGCCCCAUUGCACAUAACUUACCAUGGGACAUGUGCCUCGGACUAUAGUUCCAACUCAAUGCAUUUGCAGUUAUUAAAUAUUUAAAUGUUCCUUUAUAUAAUUGAUAUUGCAUAUUGUAUUAGUCAGGGUUCUCUAGAGGAACAGAAUCAACAGGAAGUACAAUUAUAAAAGGAGAAUUUAUAAGAUUGGCUUAUAUUACUGGAAGCUGGAUAGUCAACAAUGGCCAUCUGCAGGUCAGACAGCUGGAAGGAAGAAUCAGUAGGUGCAAAGUCCAAGAGGCUGAAGCCUGGGCCUGAACAAGAGAGAUUAGCAGUGCUACUCUAGUUUGAAACCAAAGGUUUCUGGAGAAUCACCUUUGGAAGAGUAAAGAAGCAAGAGUCUGAUAUCCUCAGAUGAUGGUAGGAGCAAUCAAGAACCCAUUCAAGAAAAAGUCAACCAUGCAUCUGCUGCUGCUUCCUUGUUCUUCCAACUUUUAUUCCAUCCAAGUCAUCAUCAUAUUUGGUGCAGCUCAUUCUUAGGGAGGGUCUCCAUUUCAGUUGGCUAUCCUACAUGCUAACCAUUUCUAGACACAUAGACACACCCAUAAUCCUCUUAAUCCUAGGUAUCUCUUAAUCUGAUGAAGCUGACAAUUCAAAUUAACCAUUACACAUGUAGAAUAAAUAUUUAUAAUCAAUGGGAACCUUUUUUUUCAAUAAGAAAUUCCAAAAUACUUCUAGUUUAGAAGAUAGUAGGAAUAUAGAAAAACAAAUAGGAAAAAAAAAAACUUGAUUAAUAGAAGAACUCCACUUACUAGCUUUAGGGAAACAUGGUGGUUCAUGGCAUCCUCUCUUUAAACACUGACAAUUUCAAAACCCCUCUCUGCACCUAAUCAGAGUAAGACUUUGAGACUUAACCUCUGUGUACCCAAAUUCUCCUUGUAAUCAUGAAAGUAAUCUCAGCCCCCGCUUCAUGUUGAGAAGAUUCGAAAAUCACCAUGUGCUGCAUUUAGAGCAGGGAUUUUUACACACUUUGUGGUUUAAUUCUUAAUUUAAGCAUCAUGAAACCUGCUAGUGAGAAUGAAACCUUAAGUUCAAUUUUGCAGUUCCCACUUGAGAGAGGGCAAUGUUGGAUUUUAGUUUACAGGACACAGGUAGCCCAGAACUCCCAUUCCCCUGCAGGACCCUCUGGCUAGAACAACAGUGAACUGGCAGGACGGCAGCCAGUGAUGAGGCUGUAGGAAUCAUCUUCCUGUCACAGACUGUGGUUGGAGUUCUGGGCAAUUCCUGUCUUCUCUAUUACCUGUUAUUUUCUUCACUGGGUGCAGGUUAAGGCCUACAAAUUUGAUUCUUAAGCACUUGAUUGUGGUCAAUUUGUUUCUGCAUAAAGAAAGUCCCCAGACAGGGGCAAUUUUCAGUUUGGAAGUUUUCCUUGGUGAUUUUGGAUGUAAGCUGCUUUUCAAUGUUAACAGGAUGGGCAGUGAUGAGUCCAUUGUUACCAUAUGCCUUCUGAGUGUCUUCUAGGCCACCAUCUUCAGCCCAGUGAAUUCAGAUGGGCAGAGCUUUAAAAUGAAAGCUCCCAGGUACAUUGGUACCUCCGUAUACCUGGGCCGGAUCCUGUAACUCCUUGUAAGUAUGCCUUUCUUACUUACAUGACUGGGAAAGGGAGCUCCAAAAAUGUCAAGAUCUUGGUAGAUUUUCUGGUGCUCUAAUGACAAAGCCCUAGAAUCAUUGCUUGCAGCAAUCCUGUCACUCCCUGAUGCUGUGUGUGUGUGUGUGUGUGUGUGUGUGUGUGUGUGUGUGUGUGUGUAAGCAGGGGUGCUCAUGCUCUAGGCCAGCAGCUCCAUGGUGCUCAUUCUGCACAGGCAUUACCAGAGAAUGCAGCAUGUUUGCCCAGGUCCUACCCUGAGUACAGAGCCAACAAAACAAUUCUUGUCCUAGUGAGCUCUUUUGUAUUUUUAUACACUUUCCUGUAUCUUAAAUAAUCCCAAAUUGUUCCUGAUAGUUUUGGCUGCAAUAAUCUCUGGGUGCUUCCCAGCUUUCAACCCCUUUUUGCUAAUAAUCAAAGACACCAGCACAUUCAGCAUUCAGGCUAUUUUGCAUGUAUAAAAAAAUCUUAAAUUUCUAAUUCAUGAGGAAAAUGUAAAAUAUGUACUCUAUAAGGUUUUGUACAAUUUAUAGUUUUUUAUUAAUUCUUACCUACAGAAAUUUAAGCACAGUUAAUAUCAGUCAUAUCAUUUGUGAGUGGUGGUUUAGACACAUACCCUUGUAUUUAUAAAUGUGUGUGUAUGGUUUUAUAUGUGUGUUUGUGAACAUGAGCAUGCACACAUGCAUAUAUCUUGAUUGUUAUGAUCUGUCAAUAGUAAUUCUGAAAAAUUAUAUGUAAAUUUUAUACUUAAUUAGAACUAUUUCAAACUGAUUUCACAUAAUUUCAUAUUUUCUUGUUCUUCUGAUAGAUUAGUCGUGUUAAAAAUGUGGAAAGAAUUUUUCAUUUGUCUACUUUCAUGUUUAUGUCUUAGCUCUGUGUCUUUGAAGAUUUUUCCAAGUUAAUGUACUCCAAUGAUAUUUGCCUUUAGCAGGUAAAUUUAGUUAUUUUUAAUAUAGUAUAAGGAAAGUAAAAAGAGAAACAGAGACAAGAUGCAGCGGAAAGGUGGUUGCUCGUCCAAGCACCUGCAUUUAUUUAUACCAAUAGGUUACAUUAGGUCAUUACUGCCAUAACUACAUUAUUGUUUAUGGUAUCAGUAAAGUGGCUUAUUCUGCAGUUACAUUCUACAGUUACAAUAUGCAAUGUUAGGAACUUUGUGCAGCUCUCAAGAAAGUCCAUUGUCUGAAGUUACUGUUAGGUGGGCAGAUCCAGGAUCAGCAGAGCUUAGUGAAACAUUGUGGUUAUCUAGCAAGCAAGUUCCUUUAUUCACAGGAGCUAUGUGCCUGAGAUCAAAGUCAAGGCUGAUAAGACUAUAGAACAGAGAAUGGCAUUGCCAUUACAGCUAGAUGGUUCAUAUGUAUUAGUUAUCUUACUAGUUCCUAGUAAAAAACUGCAGGACAUUCUAUGGGUAGUAGUUAAGUAGUUUGUUACUCCCCAGGAGUUUGCUCACCAGAGGAAUGUUUCUCUAUGAUAUUUCCAUGGUCAGAAUCCCUACAAUAUAGAAAUGGACAGAAUGGGAAGCAAUUGUCCACUAAAAACCCCUACUCUGUUUCAUAUAUUUAAUGUCCACCUUGAUAAUAUACAUUAGGUAUAAUUUUUUAUUGUUACAAAUGAUUUUUAAAUCACCUAUAAACCAUCAAAGCAGUCAUAAAUUACUAAAGUAAAUUACUAAGUAAAAUUUUAUAAAGUAUAUACACUUUUGCCUUCAGCUUCUUCUACAUCAAAAUACAAGCUUGUCCAUCUCAAAGAUUCCUCUUUGUGCCUCUGCCAUAAUCAUAUUCAACAGGGACCAGUAUGUGACAUUAAAUACCAUAGAUCACUUUCAUUUGUACUUUCUAUAAAUGAAAAUGAUCAGCUUCAAUUUUUAUAUUUGACUUAGAAAAUUCUAUUUUCAUCGUAGUUUGUAUUUUUAUAUUUGGUUGGUAAUAGAAUUCAACUGCAGGAAUAUUAAUUACUUCAUGCCUUCCUCUCUGGAUAAGUCCUCCCCCCCAAAAAAAAAGUUCCAUGUGCUGGAAGCUUUGCACCCAGUGUGAAGGUUUUGGAGGAGGUAGAAACUUUGACGUGUGGAUGUAAGUACAAGGUGGCUGGGUCAUUGGGAGGUCAUGCUUAAAGGGAUAAAUGGUAAUGUCUGGAGUAUAUCAGUUCCCAUGAAAUUGGGCUGUCUUGCAGAGAGUUCUGGUGUCUCUGCUCUGUCGCUCCCUGUCCUGUCCUGUGGUCUGUUCUGUAUGUGCUCCCACUAUUGUGAUUUCACCUACUCUUAGUUCCUCAAAGAGUUGAGCAGAUGCUGGCACCAUACUCUUGAAUCUCCAGAACUGUAGGUCACUAAAUUUCUUUGUCAAAUACUCAGUCUUGGGUAUUUGGUUAUUGCAACAGAAAAAGAUAACAUGACAUGGUCAUUUUUUAGUUUGAAGUAUCAUGAUGAGGACUCACCUGUAGUUUCACAGUGUGUUUUUAAUGAUAAUUGUAAGAGUUUCUGCUGCUAUGUGUGUAAAGGUGAUUGAUUCAUUGAUUAUAGGUUUACAUCUUCUUGGCUUUAGAAUAUACUGACUGAGUUUAUCAAAUGUUUGUAUGAGUUUCAACUAAGUAGAAGCUCUUAUUUUAAUAGAAAUACUUUUAUAUGUCUUUAUUUAAUGUUAAUAACAUAGGUUCUGUUAAACAUAGAUGCAUAUAGUAAGACAUAUGCAUAGGGAGGUUCUCUCUUCAUUUUCUUCAAAGACAUCAAUUAAUAACUUAAAAAUUUACAUCAGAAAACCAUACAGAAUCAGCUUUUUAUAUGUGUUGGUAAUUAUUUAAGUCUUUUUAAAAAGUAAACAAUAAAUUUCAAUGUUUUCUGAAAAUGUACAAUAGAUACUUUUUCUCUCAUUUAUCAUCAUAUAUUCUAUAUUUUAAAACAUCUGGGAAAAUAUUUUGAGAAGUUUUGCCCUAAGACAUGGUAGCUAUUUGAGAGACAAGUAUGCCUAACCUGAUUUGGAGAUUGCUAAUGUGCACAUUGUAUUCAAAUAUCUUGUGAUACCCUAUGAAUAUGUACAAUUUUUAGUAUCAUUUAAUAAUAAAUACUUUUGGCUGGCCAGAGUGGUGCAUGCCUAUAAUCCCAGUGGCUUGGGAGGCUGAGCUAGAAAGAUGCAAGUUUAAGACUAGUCUCAGAAAAUAAGUGAAGCCCUAAGCAACUUAGCUAGAGCCUGUCUACAAAUAAAAAGGCCUGCAGAUCAGUAGUGAACAGCUCCUGGGUCAAUCCUUGCUACCAGUAAUAACAACAGUAAAUUAAUCAAUUAAAACUUUCCUUUUGUUUCAUAGUGUCAUUGGCUCACAUACUUACUGUCUUCAAUUCCAGCAGUAAUGUAAAAAGAACCUCUUAUACCCUAUAUCUCUGACUGUGUCCUCUGCUGCAUCUCUGUCUUCUGCUUUAAGGGCCCAUGUAAAUAGAGUAGGACAAUCAGACACCAGUGUGUACACCAGUGUAUAUGAGAAAAAUGUCUCCCUCUCUUAUGAUCUGCCAAUCAGCAGUCUUAGCAUCGUCUUUAAACCCCAGUUAACCCAAUGUGACCUCAGGAGUGACUGCAAGAGCAUUCUCCAAGUCGUCUUGGAACAACCCUGUUCACAGUCCCACGUUAUCCCUUGUAGUUCUCAGGACAACUGCAAAAUAUACUGAGAAAGUAACACCAUAAGCUAGGAAGAAACUAAGUGGAACAACAUAACUUCUAUUCCAGUUUUCCUAGAAUCAGUAUGUCCUUUAAUGAUUUAGAGAGUGUUGUGGUUCUAGGGCAUAAAACCCAAGGUGGACAUCUUCCUGGGGUCCUUCAGCUUUGGUGUAAGUGGAGCAUUCUUGGAUGAAACUGAAUCCUCUGUGUGGAGCCUUCAUGACUGCCAGGGACAAGCUUGGAAUGAAUCCAAAGCUUCUGCAUGCCUUUGUUCCCUGUCCGUAAGUAACAAACCUGUCUCAUGUACCCAGGGUGUGUGGAUGUUCUGUUUCAUCAGACUAAAAGAAGUUGAUUUCCAGUCCAAAGUGAAUGUGCUUUAAAUAAUAUCUGGGGUUGGGAAUUUUCUAUGGCAUGUUUUGAAUUUUAAAAACCAUAGAAAUUGUAAAUAUACCUACAAAAAAUUUACCCUUAAUGAGUAUUAGGAAAAAUAAUAAGAGGACACAGAAACAAGAUGUAGAGGCAGGAAGAAAAAUGGCUGCUUUUCCAAGUGACAAUAUUUAUUUACACCGAUAGGUUACAUUAGGUAAUUAGGACCAUAAUUACAUUUUUAUUGCUUAGAGUACCAGUAACGUAGUUUAUUCUGCAGUUAUAUUCCACAGUUACAAUAUGCAAAGUCAGGAGCUUUUUGCAGCUCUUAAGAAAUUCAUUGUACAAAGUAACUUUUAAGCGGGCAGAUCCAGGAACAAGGGAGCUUAUUGAAACAUUGUAGUUAUCCCAGCAAGCAAAUUCCUUUAUUCUCAGGAAUUAUAUGCCUAAAAUCAAGGUUGAGACUGAACAGACUCUAACACAGAGCUUCUUCGUAAAGGACAUUGCUACAGCAGAGAGGCAUCCCAUGGCUUUACACAAAAUUUUCCAGCAGCCAGGCAUUUUGUGUCUUUACAGAGAAACUUCCUAGCAGCCAGGCUUUCUGUGCCUUUGCACAGAAACUUUCUACCCAGCAAUCAUGCCACAAUCAUGAAGUUUAUCAGAGACCCCAAUCCCAAACACAGAACCCUCAUAGAUGAUCCCUGUGAUGAUUUACUAAAAGAAAGAACAGCGGGGCUGGGGAUGUGGCUCAAGUGGUAGCGCGCUCGCCUGGCAUGCGUGCGGCCCGGGUUCGAUCCUCAGCACCACAUACAAACAAAGAUGUUGUGUCCGCCAAUAACUAAAAACUAAAUAUUAAAAAUUUUCUCUCUCUCUCCCCUCUCUCACUCUCUCUUUUAAAAAAAAAAGAAAGAACAGAGGUGGUGGAUUAGACUUACACUUUUAGCUUGUCUUUUAUUUUUAUAAUAAUAUUAUAUAUAUGUAGAUAUAGAUGGAUGGAUAGAUAGAUAUUGAAGCUGAUAAAGCUUAAAUAUUGUGUGCCAUUUUAGUUUUUAUUCUUUAUUGAAAUAUCAUUAACGUGUGUUUAAGGAAUGCAAUGAUAUAUAUAUAUAUAUAUAUAUAUAUAUAUAUACACACACACACACACACACACACACAUAUGUGUAUAUAUACAUAUAUACACAUAUAUGUCUAUGUUUACAUAUAUAUGUAUAUAUUAAAUGAUCAUCACAAAGUAGUUAUCAUUUUCACUUCACAGAGAUUCCUUUUCGAAUCUUCAUGUCUUUUUUUUUUUAACUCUGCAUUUUUUCUCCCCCUCUCCUAUUUUCUCAUCACUCUUUUAAUAUCUAGAACAUUCCAGACCACUUGCAUAUAUAGUGAAAUAGUGCAUGCAUGGAUAAAGCACCAUCUUAGGAGAGACUGAGAAGACUUUAAUUUCAAACCUUGGGUUCAUCCCUAUCUGUUAGAAGACAUACCAUAACUAUAAAAAAUGGAAAUAGAAAAAUCUAAAUUCCAGACCUAACAUAAUCAAGUGUCUCAUUUCCUAUCAUUUCAGUUUCUCUGUCUCAUACUGUGUGUUUCUUUUUGCCUCAUAUUGUCUUUAUCUGCUGUCUCUUUGUACAUGUGUAUGCUUUUAUAUAAAAUAAAUUUAAUCUUAAUAAAAUCUGUCAUCUAUACAGUUGGUGUAUUUUUAAGGAAAUGUUAAAAUAUGAUGCUGAGACUACUAAAAUUGUCCUUUUAGAAACUUUUCAUAUUUUCUUCAUUAUUUCCUUUGAAAAUCCAUUCUGAAUUUACAUAUCCAUGUUGUGGGUGAGGAUUGAUGUUUUCCUGUUCCAAGUACACUUCAGGUUCAAGUAAUUCAGGUUCCAGUGAAAGUGUCUAGUUGCACUUUCUUUCCCUCUCUCUCAUUUCUCCCCCAAGUCUAUACCCUCAUCCUCAGGGACCACUUUCCCAUGAAACACUGAGUGCACUCUACCUCUGUGCUCAUGCUUGGAAAUCUCUGGCAAUCCCACAAAGCAGCACCUAAAUCAUUCUUGGGGACAAACUCUACCAUGAGCCCCUGUGCUUAGAGGAAUCUUUGUUGUCAUGAUUUACCAUGGUGAAUGACAGCAGAGCCUGCAGACCUCGGGCAAUAUCUUGUUCUUCUCAAGACUGCUGUCAGAAUCCUGGACAUGUAUCUCUUCUCUGCCAUCAUCUCUUCCUCAUAACUCACAACAGGGUGUUCUUUCCAUAUGAUUCCCAGGCAUCUGUGUACACCAGCUCCUGGUCACAUUUUCUAAGGGACUUCUCCAAGCAAUGGAAGCAUUGCUAGUUCUAUUCUCACCCAGCCUUGUCCUGCUACUGGCCCUGUCCUCACCUGACUCUUCUCCUUGGCCAGGUAUCCACCAUGAAGAUCUUCUCACCACAGUAACCCUGAACUCUGGAGGAGGUGAUCUUGACCUGUGUGAGACCCUUGUUUUUAAAAAAACUUGGUUCAGUCAUUGAGUCCUCUUAAUGUCCUUUGGGAUCCCCUAUAUGCAGUGUGUACAUCACACAGGACAUUUUAGGGGCCAGUAUGUAAAGAAGCUCAAAUCUUCUUCCCACAUCAUUGGCUCAGACUCACUGUAUUAUCCAACACAAAGGAGGCCAAGGGGAAAACAGUUGAUAAGCAAAUACUAACAACCCAUCCAACUGAUCUGUGACUCCUGAGGCUUCCCCCAAAGAGAGUAUGUAUGGAAAGGAGAGAGAAAUCAGAGGAAAAAAAAAUAAAAUAAAAAAAGAUGGUACCAGUUCAGCCCAGCUCUGCCAUGGACUAACAUGGUAGUUUGCACUCAUAUGCUGAAUCUCCUGAAGCUUUUGUACAUCAGGUUACAUGAAGCUAAAAUGAAUAGAUCAGUAAUUGAUGAGGACUGAUUGAAGAAAUGCAUAGAUGUGUGAACUUUAAAUGAAUAAAUACCAGCUUGCAAAAACUUUAAGCCAUGCGAGGACUCUGAUAAUAUGAGGCAGGACAUGUGACAAAGCUGAUUAUUCCUGCUUGUGGGAGAAGUGUUCUUCAAGAGGUAUCCAGUCUCCUAUGGAUACCACACCCAAAGCCAGAAGGAUGUGCUCAGCGUGUGGUCCCUGUGUUCCAGCUCUGCAGCUUGAAGGGCCCAGUGUUCCAGCUCCCUCUUUCUCAAAAAAGAGGGAGAAUCCCAGUCCAGCUUUGCCCAGAUCUAAACAGCUUUCCACACCCUCAAAACAAGGGGAACUGGCAAGGUACGGAGCUGGCCUUGGACACCUUGCACUUUUCAUGGAAAGGGAGUAAAUGUUUGUGGUUGUGAAUGUUUCCUAUCGGUUCUAACUGGAUUCUAGGAGGCCUCCAGUUCAGCUCAAAAUCAAUCCUGGGGGCAAACAGAGCUGAAUGUGAUCCCUAGAAGCAGACACGUGAAGUACUGAGGAUGACUGAGGGGACUCAGAGAGAAGGAGUUCACACUUAGAGAAUAUUUCACAUUGAUUUAUUCUCAUUCUCUGUGACAUGCAUGUAGUAGAAUAAAUUUAUUUUAAAAUUAUAAUAAUUAGCAUACCAUAGGAAUGUGUGGAAAAUGGAAGUAGAAGGAUAUAAUAAAAAAUGUUAAAAUGUUUUGUUUUUUAAGAUAGUAGAAUUUUAAAUCAAUGACCAUGGUGGCUUUUUAUCUGUUUUGAAUUUUCUAUGAUGAAAUAAAAUAUUAUACUGUAUAUUUGACAAUUAUUUUUCCCUUUGUAUUUUAGAUUUAAAAAAUUAUGAUUCAUAUCAGAAAGAAUUGGAAAUGCACUUGAAUUCUUCAUAUUAUUUAAUUUUACUAAUAUUUUAAACUCAGAAUUUUAUAAAGCAAAUAUGAUGACUUUACCAAAGCAUGUAAUUAUAGUUUGAGGACAUUUCUUAGAUUAAUAAGUGAGAAUAAUUUCCAGUAACUUGGGAGGAGAACUUCUUCCUGUUUAAAAAUAGUUUUCCUAAUUCUUCCUUCAAAAUGACAAAAACACUAUUUCCAUAAAGUUAUUACUUGUUAGAUGAAUGGGAAAUAAUAAUUCUGUUGAACUUUAAUAAAUUUUAUACAAAUGUUGUCCUAGUUAUGGCAGUUUGGCAUCUUCUCUAAUAUUACCUUGAAUGAUAAAAAAGCAAUGUUAGCUAAUUAGGAUUUUGAAUAACAGACAGAGAAAUUAGGAAGUGGGAAGGAGGAUUUCAUUUCCUUAUUCCUACAGAGAGGGCAGCUGAACCCCAGGCUUCCACUGAUAGAAACCUAGAGUUAAGUUGCUAAAUAGUGUGAGGACAGACACAUACAAUUGUUGAAUCAGUGCUACAAUGACCAGUUUGAUUUCUUUUUUUUUAUGUGUGCCUUGAGAGAAUGAUAGUAAAUUUUCAAAAUUAAUCUCAAAAAUUUCCCUUUGUGAUACUUUAUUUUGGUGUCUAACAUACUGAAAAACUUGCCUAUUUUGUUCACAAAUUAACAGUGUGGGUUGCCUUGUUAUAUUUUCUGCAAUCUACCUCAGAGACUCUUUGUAGGUUGAAAUUCGUAUUUGAAGAUAGCUGUUAAUUCUCAAGAGUUUAAUCAAGCCCAAGUUUAAUCAAGUACUACCAACUGACCAACUGUCAUCAGAGGAGAAAGAUUGCUGCUUACUAACAAAUUGUUUGAUUUCUAAAAUCCAUUGUUUACAUUCAUAAAAUUUAUUUUUCAUUUUUUCUAAUUCUAUUAAAGCUUUGAGUCAAUGUUUAAAAUGUAUGCAUUUCAGUAUUAUAACAUGUAUCACAUUACUUAUUAUAUAUGCUUUCAAAUAGAUAUACUAUGUAACAUAUGCAAUGUAUAAAAUUCAUUGAUAUUUAUUAGAUUAUAUUAUACUACAUGUAGUAUAUAUUACAUAUUUUGCUAAUAUUACAUGUGUACAUAUCAUAUUUUAUAUAUAAUAGUAUCAUGUAAUAUUCAAUUCCACUUUUUACUUAUAUACCCUCAAAAAAACUUUACCACAAGAAAAUAUAGGAAUUUCAUGCAUGCAUGCAUGCAUUUAUAUGUGUGUGUGUGUGUGUGUGUGUGUGUGUGUGUGUGUGUAUAUAUAUAUAUAUAUAUUUAUGACUUACAAAUAAACAUACCAAAUUAUUUUAAUUGUACAUUUGAAUAAUUUUUUACUUACCAAUAUUUGAACAGUAAGAUUCAUGAAGCUGUGGGUGUAGUUAAGUGGUAGAUCAGUUGCCUAGCCUGUGCAAGGCCCUGAAUUUCUCUUUUAGCACAACAAAAUUAAAUAAAUAAUAAGAUUUAGAGAUGAGUGUGACAUAAUUCAUCAUUAUUUGAUGUUAACCACAGUAAAAAUAUUUAUAAGAAACUCAUAUUAAUUUCCAAGAAGGCCAUAAUGAUAGCAGUGAUAUUUAAUCAUAUACUUGAAGAAUCUACUCAAAACAAUCUUAAGGAAAAAAAAUCCUAGGGAAAAAAAUAUAUAUAUUUCCAUAAGCAAUAGAAACAUUAUAAAUGUUUAAAAAUUUUACUUUUAGUUGUUUUGCUAAUUACUGUUUAUUUACAAAACAAUGAAAUUUGAACUACAAUUAUAACAUAUGGUGCAAGUUAGUGAUAUUAGCAUAUCUUAUCACCUUAAGCACAACAGUUAUUUUAACCCUCAGUAAAUGUUUUAAAGAAUUGCCUGGCCAGACGUGGUGAUGCACACCUUUAAUCCCAGAGACUCAGGAGGCUGGACAGGAAGAUUGCAAGUUUGAGACCAGCCUCAGCAAUACAAUGAGGCUCUAAGGAACUUAUCAAGAACUUCUCUCAAAAUAAAACACUAAAAAGAACUGGUAAUUUGGCCCCAGUGGUUAAGUGCCUGUGGGUUAAAUCCCUGAUUUAAAAAAAUUCUAGAAAUCUAUCAGUGGAAGAAAAUGGGCAGUGGAAAAAUAAGCUGCUUAACUCUGUUAUUUUUUUUUAUACCAGUGAUUGAACCCAGAGGAACUUAAACACUGAGUCACAUCCCUAGACCCUUUUAAUAUUUUAUUAAGAGACAGGGACUCACUGAGUUUCUUAGGGCCUCACUAAGUUACUGAGACUGGCUUUGAACACAUAAUCCUUCUGCUUCAGCCUCCCAAGCCACUAGCAUUACAGGCAUGCAUCACAAAGUACAGCUCUGGCAAAUUUAUUUUUCACAAGGUUCUCAAGUUAAUUCAAGUGAGAAUAGCAUCUUCCACAAAUAAGAUAGGAAUAAAAUUGCAUAUUUAAUGCAAAAGAGUGAUAAUGUAUUUUACAUGGGAUUAUAUAAAUAAUUAACUCAGAAUCAUUCUGGACUUAAAUAUAACAGCUAAAAUUAUUUAAAAAAAUAAAAAUAGUACUGAAUCAAAUGUUCUUGAAUUAGACUGACCAGUGGAGCCUUAGAUAUGCUUCAAAAAUACAUACACACAAAUAAUUAAAUAAAUUUGACUUUAAAAAUUUUCUGUGAAAUUUUAUACUAAACAAUAGAAUGCAUAGAUUUUAAAUUAGUGAUAUAAAUCAAAAUAGCUGCAGAUUAAAUGAUAUUAAUAUAGUUGUUCCUGUAGUACCAUCAUUGAGAUUUCAGAGAAUGAAUAAGUUAUGUGAUUUCCUUGCUUCAGGUUCCCAAUUUGUCAAAUUGCUAUAAUUCUCUUCUCUGAAAGAUACUGUAGAUUGUUCCUAUUCUAUUUAAAGAUACUGUAGAUUGUUCCUACUCACAGUUCAUUGUAUAAAAUAUAAACUACAAUUAUAAUUUUAUAGGAAAACUUGACACUUAAUAUUCCAUAAGAUUCAACUGCUAUUUUCUCUUAAUCAAUUCAGUAGAAAAUUGGAAUAGCAUUACAAUUUUAUUUGGAGUCCAAAAUGACUAGAAAUUACUUAGAGAAUAUAAUUGAAUCAUUAGCAGGUCUGUUCUUUUAAGGCUUUUCUGUUUUUCAAAUGUUUUGUUUUUAAUUGAAAUAUAACAAUUGAACAUGCUUAUGGCAUACAGUUUGAUAUGUUGGCAUAAGUAUACAUUGUGUAAUGAUUAAAUCAGGGCAAUACACAAUUUUUUUCUGUGCAGAAAGAAAAAGGAAAGUAAAGACAAUUACAUUAGGUGUUUUGGUUUGUGUGGUUUUGAAGAUCUGUUUAUACUCACUUUUUAGCACUCACUGACGUUUUUUAAGAAGCCAGUUGAGUUCAAAGCCCAGCCUCCUCUUUUCUCUGGCUCUUACAGUGCACUGCCACUUUGUACCCGCCAGAAUCGCCCCAGAGCAAGGAACCCUACAUACAGGGAAACUGUGUACAUCCCAGGACACACAAAAUUAUUGAGACUGAUCAGUCAACAACAAGCCCUACUGACUAGCUGACCUCCUACAAACUAUAUUUCCUCUACAGAUCUGUUUUACCCUGUCACUGGCUAAAACCCCCUGGCAGAAAUCUUGUGUGUUCAAUAUCAUAACUUACAAGUAGGGGUGACUUUUGUCUGUACAAAUGUCAUUGUGUUGGGUCCUGAGAACAAAUAAAGUGUCCAAUUAAAAAAUAAAUAAAUAAACCUAAGAAAUGAAGGGAAAAAAAUGUGAAGAUUGUAGAAAAAUUUCCAGACCCCUUUGAUAACAACAUAAAAUCUUGCAUUCGCAAUGGAAAAUACCUUGAUGGUUUCUUGAUAAAAUACUAAAAUAAGCAGAACCCUCCCCUAAAAAGUUCCAUAAAUAACUGAAAGCAUGUGCUCAGAUGAGUUCUCAUUAACACAUGAGUAUUUAUAACUGAAUGAGACUCAAUGGUGAAAACAACACAAUAUUAAUGGACAAUAGAAAAUUGGUAUGUCUGCAUUGUAAUAUUAUUCAGCAAUAUUAUUUGGCAGUUCUAGAACUGAACUCAGGGUCUUGUGCCUACUAGGAAAGCACUUUACCUCUGAGAUACAACUUCAGUCACAUCCAGCAAUCAUGGUUAGUGAGAGCACUAAAAUAUUACAAUGGAUAUGUAGCUGGGGAACGGUACACUAAGGGAAAUGAAUCAGAGAAAAAAAAAGUGCCAUGUAUUUUAUAUGUGAUAUACUAUUUUGAGAGUAAGAAAAUCAAUUGAUGAAAAAUGCCAGGAGCCAAGUGGAGCAGAAACAAGGAAUAACUGCUGGUGGGAACUGGUGGAUCUGCAUGUAAAAUAUAAAAAGUUACAAAAUCGUACCCUCUAAAGUUGGUUACAAAAGUAAACUUAGUUUUAUUAAAAAAUAAAUAAAUAAACCUAAGAAAUGAAGGAAUUAAAUUCUUUGCCAGAAUUAAAAAAAAAUCAUGCAGUUUUUAAAGAAUAAAGCAGUCAAGGCCCCAACCCAUAAAAUAAGGCAAUAAAUCAUAAAUGAUGGCAGCUGGUUGAGCUGAAUGUAAGUACAUUUAUUUACAUGAACAUGCUGUUGCUAUAUGUGUAUGAGAGUCAGUUAAUUGUUCUUUUCCUCAGUGUGUAUUUUAUUAUAAUACAUACAAGUAUUAUCUCUAUCAUGACCAAUAUUUGAAACUUGCCAAGUUUUUACUAUAUUUACAUAAUUCAGUAUACUUAAAUAUGCAUUGUUUCUUUGUUUUGCAGAGCUGUGGAUCAAGUACAGGGGCAGGCACAAGUACCGCAAGCCUUUCACCGCUGAGCCACACUUGGAGUGAAUCUGAUCUCUAGUCCUGAUUAGUUGUCUGUUUAUGAAAGGUCAUCUAAUGCCACAUUUUUUUUUAAUUUUUAGUGUGUAUAUUUCUUAUAUUUCUUAUGGUUGAAAUAAAACUUUGUCACAUCCUAGUGGCAUUUUGUGAUGGUGA